UGGGGAAUAUUGCACAAUGGGCGCAAGCCUGAUGCAGCCAUGCCGCGUGUAUGAAGAGGGCCUUCGGGUUGUAAAGUACUUUCAGCGGGGAGGAAGGGAGUAAAGUUAAUACCUUUGCUCAUUGACGUUACCCGCAGAAGAAGCACCGGCUAACUCCGUGCCAGCAGCCGCGGUAAUACGGAGGGUGCAAGCGUUAAUCGGAAUUACUGGGCGUAAAGCGCACGCAGGCGGUUUGUUAAGUCAGAUGUGAAAUCCCCGGGCUCAACCUGGGAACUGCAUCUGAUACUGGCAAGCUUGAGUCUCGUAGAGGGGGGUAGAAUUCCAGGUGUAGCGGUGAAAUGCGUAGAGAUCUGGAGGAAUACCGGUGGCGAACGCGGCCCCCUGGACGAAGACUGACGCUCAGGUGCGAAAGCGUGGGGAGCAAACAGG
RNAcentral lists this ribosomal RNA (429 nucleotides) under Chloroflexota bacterium. RNAcentral describes it as "Chloroflexi bacterium partial 16S ribosomal RNA". It matches the Rfam family "Bacterial small subunit ribosomal RNA", at positions 355 to 776 of the family's 1533-position model. Lineage: Bacteria; Bacillati; Chloroflexota. The record is from RNAcentral.